RNA transcript from Pan troglodytes (chimpanzee), 3843 nucleotides. It is a transcript of the gene named nudix hydrolase 19, with no coding region annotated. The record is from RefSeq and is a predicted model, not a curated record. The transcript has 4 exons. Lineage: Eukaryota; Metazoa; Chordata; Mammalia; Primates; Hominidae.
CAAGGUGUGCAGUAGGAAAUUUAUAAUUUGGCAUCUGGCUCAUCCAUUCAUUUCUCAUUGGUGUGGUUCAUGUGUGCUUGCAAAGGUCAGACUUCUGCCCUUUGAAUGUCCUCUCUCCCUCUCCCACAGAAAACACCCACAUGUGGAUCCUUGUUUAAAGCAGAAAGUCCUAGUCCUGAGCUUUUAGUGAGGUGGAUGUCAUCAGGCCUGGGUUGGCAUCCUGUUUUUUACCAUGGCAAGUCAUAUGCGCCCUUAAGCAUUCCUGCUUUUGGUCCAAGCUUCCUGCGUGGGAAUACUGCGGUCCUCCUUUCAGGCAGCUGUGAAUGACAAACGGUCGCUGGCUGCCGUGACACCCAUUGUCCCGCGAGAGUGCCCUAGCUGGGCCCCAGUGCACUCGAGGCGGUGCCUGCUCGGGUGCCCCUCCCACAGGCAGGCGCCGUUGCCGACCAAACGCCCAGGUUCACCCAGCGCCGGAGGCUCGUCCUCAAUCCCCGCGAGGCCCCCGGAGGUGCUAGGGUCCCUGCAGGGCCCGGCCACCUGCCGAGGAGCUCCGGCCGCGCCAGAAUCGGAUCCGGGAAGCUGCGCGCCAUGAGCAGCUCCCUGCGGCCGGGCCCCAGCCGCUGGCGGCGGGCGGCCAGCAUCGUCCUGGCGGCUGGCUGGUCGCGCCCGGAGACGGCCACCCCGCCGUCGCGCCCGCCGCCCUCCGAGGGCUUCCGGCUGCUGCUGCUGCAGCGUUCCCCGCACCAAGGCUUCAUGCCGGGCGCGCACGUCUUCUCGGGCGGAGUGCUGGAUGCGGCCGACCGCUCGGCGGACUGGCUGGGCCUCUUCGCGCCGCACCACGGGCCGCCGCGCUUCGGCCUGGGCCCGGCGCCAUUCAGCCGCACCGCUUUCCCGUCGCUGCCCGACACCGAUGACCACAAGGCCGACAACACUGGGACGCUGCCUGAGGACGUAGCCUUCCGCAUCUGCGCCGUGCGGGAGGCCUUCGAGGAGGCGGGCGUGCUGCUGCUGCGGCCCAGGACUUCCCCACCAGGCCCAGCACCCGGGCCUGGCCUCGCCCUGGAGCCGCCGCCGGGCCUGGCCUCCUGGCGCGACCGCGUGCGCCGGGACCCGCGCCACUUCCUGCGGCUGUGCGCCCACCUCGACUGCACACCCGACAUCUGGGCGCUGCACAACUGGAGCGCCUGGCUCACCCCUUUCUUGCGGGGCACCACUCGCCGCUUUGACACGGCCUUCUUCCUGUGCUGCCUGCGCGAGCCGCCGCCCGUCUACCCCGAUUUGGCGGAGGUGGUGGGCUACCAGACAGAGUCUUGCUCUGCCACCCAGGCUGGAGUGCAAUGGCACGAUCUCGGCUCACUGCAACCUCUGCCUCCCAGAUUCAAGCAAUUCUCCUGCCUCAGCCUCCUGAGUAGCUGGGAUUACAGGCACAUGCCACCAUGCCCAGCUAAGUUUUGUAUUUUUAGUAGAGACGGGGUUUCGCCAUGUUGGUCAGGCUGGUCUCAAACUCCUGACCUUGUGAUCCACCUGCCUUGGCCUCCCAAAGUACUGGGAUUACAGGCAUGAGCCACCAUGCCCAGCCUCUUGCAGUGGUCAUCUCCGUCAGAGGCAACUGAAAGUUUCUUAUCAAAAGAAAUUUGGUUGCCACCCCCACAGUUCUACGAAGUGAGAAGACUUGCAAACUUUGCCUCUCUCUCUGACUUGCACAAAUUUUGUUUGGGUCGUGCAUUAGAAGGACUGGAAAGGUGGCUGCCGAUCAUCUUGUUAACUGCUGAUGGGAUGGUCCAUCUUUUACCAGGUGAUGAGCUAUAUUUAGAAGAUUCAGACUUUUUGGAAAAUCUUAUGUCUACUGAAAAAAAGACUGAGGAAAUCAUGAAGGAAGGCAAGCAGUUUCACCGGAUAGUGACAUACCAUCGCCACCUUUAUGAUAUCCACGUGACUGUUCAGCCAAAGUAUAAACACGUUUAUCCUAAGAACUCUGUAGUAAGAAAAAGCCAUUUGUAGGGUGCUUAAGCUUGUUUGUAAAAUGGCCUACUUGAAGUCCUCAUGAAUAAUGAGGGUUGACUUUCAUUUGCUUGAAACUUAAGGAAGUUUGUGCCUAUAAAAGUUACUGCAAUUCAGUAUUUCUUUAUUUUUUUCGAGACAGAGUCUCAAUCUGUCGCCCAGGCUGGAGUACAGUGGCAUGAUAUAGGCUCACUGGAAGCUCUGCCUCAGGGGUUCAUGCCAUUCUCCUGCCUCAGCCUCCCGAGUAGCUGGGACUACAGGCGCCCGCCACCAUGCCCAGCUAAUUUUUUUUUGUAUUUUUAGUAGAGACGGGUUUUCACCAUGUUAGCCAGGAUGGUCUCAAUCUCUUGACCUCGUGAUACGCCCGCCUUGGCCUCCCAAAGUGCUGGGAUUACAGGUGUGGGCCACCACACCCAGCCUUUUUUUUUUUUUUUUUUUUUUUUGAGACAGAGUGUCUCACUCUUGCCCAGAACCCAGGCUGGAGUGCAGUGGCCCAAUCUCGGCUCACUGCAACCUCCACCUCCCAGGUUCCAGCGAUUCUCAUGCCUCAGCCUCCUGAGUAGCUGGGACUAUAGGCAUGCGCCACCAUGCCCCACUAAAUUUUGUAUUUUUAGUAGAAACAGAGUUUCACCAUGUUGGCCAGGCUGGUCUCGAUCUCCUGACCUCAUGAUCUGCCCGCCUUGGCCUCCCAAAGUGUGGGAUUACAGGCGUGAGCCACCGUGCCCAGCAUGGUGUUUCUUAUAUCAGGUGUUUUAGGGAGCUCGCUUGCUUAUUCCAUUCUUUAAUCCUUACAGUGUGCCACACGUAUGAAGUUUAUAACAUAUUAAUGAUCUCAUUACCCAAAACCAGAACAUAAUUUCACAAGGGUUCCUACUUCUGUAUUGUUUUAUUAUCUCAAAAAUUUAAAUAACAUGUUCUGCUGUUUAUUUUUCUUGUUGUCCACUGUAUUAACACCUUCCCUGAUGUGCUUUGGAGGUUGAUCAAUGAAUUUCUGAGACUUUCUGCUGGAAUUACUUUAAGGGUGUCUUAUUAGAUGGUGAAAAGUUGGCUGAGACACCCUUCAAGUGACCAUGUCAUUGUUUUCUUGCUAUGUCUUUAGCUUAAUGAUUAAGAUACAAUUCUUUUAAAAAUCAAAUGGUAUUAGUUAUUAUGUUUCCCAAAUUAGAAAUCGAUUUUAGUUAACAUUUUAUUUUAUUUUAUUUUAUUUUAUUUUAUUUUAUUUAUUUUUGAGACAGAGUCUCGCUCUGUUGCCCAGGCUGGAGUACAAUGGCGCAAUCUCGGCUCACUCCAAUCUCCGCCUCCCAGGUUCAAGCGAUUUUUCUGCCUCAGCCUCCCGAGUAGCUGGGAUUGCAGGCACCCACCACCACGCCCAGCUAAUCUUUGUAUUUUUAGUAGAAACGGGGUUUCACCAUGUUGGCCAGUCCGGUCUGGAACUUCUGACCUGAGGUGAUCUGCCCACCUUGGCCUCGCAAAGUGCUGAGAUUACAGGCUUGAGCCACCACGCCUGGCCUAGUUAGCAUUUUAAAGAAACACAAAGCCAUAACAAAAACCAUCAUUGUUUGUAUUCCACACUGUUAAUGAAUGUAAAGAGGUUAGAAAUGUAGUGUUUGAUUAAUGACGUUUAUUUUUACUGUAUUUAAUAUGAGUAAUUUUUCAUCAUCUUUCAAGAGGAAUAAUGUUUAUUGAUUAAAGGUGAGAAAUGAUAGUUAAGACACCAAUUCCAUGGCCAGAUCUUCGACUGUAUCAUGCAUUGUACAAUUGAUUUCAUAUUUUAUGAAAUGCCUUAAUUUUCCUACUAUAACAUAAAGACAAUGAUGAAUAAAGUUUAUGUGUAUGAUUUAA